ACAGCCGUACCAUGCUGAAUAUACCGGUUCUCGUUAGAUCACCGAAGUUAAGCAUCAUUGGGCGCGGUCAGUACUUGGGUGGGUGACCAUCUGGGAACACUGCGUGCCGUU
Molecule: ribosomal RNA, 111 nt
Filed under: Caerostris darwini
Lineage: Eukaryota; Metazoa; Arthropoda; Arachnida; Araneae; Araneidae
Source: RNAcentral